GCCAGGUGCGGUGGCUCACGCCUGUAAUCCCAGCACUUUGGGAGGCUGAGACGGGUGGAUCACCUGAGGUCAGGAGUUCGAGACCAGCCUGGUCAACAUGGUGAAACCCCGUCUCUA
Molecule: small RNA, 117 nt
Filed under: Papio anubis (olive baboon)
Lineage: Eukaryota; Metazoa; Chordata; Mammalia; Primates; Cercopithecidae
Description: Metazoan signal recognition particle RNA (ENSPANG00000050741.1)
Source: Rfam by way of RNAcentral